AGAGUUUGAUCCUGGCUCAGGACGAACGCUGGCGGCGUGCCUAAUACAUGCAAGUCGAGCGAGCUUGCCUAGAUGAUUUUAGUGCUUGCACUAAAUGAAACUAGAUACAAGCGAGCGGCGGACGGGUGAGUAACACGUGGGUAACCUGCCCAAGAGACUGGGAUAACACCUGGAAACAGAUGCUAAUACCGGAUAACAACACUAGACGCAUGUCUAGAGUUUGAAAGAUGGUUCUGCUAUCACUCUUGGAUGGACCUGCGGUGCAUUAGCUAGUUGGUAAGGUAACGGCUUACCAAGGCAAUGAUGCAUAGCCGAGUUGAGAGACUGAUCGGCCACAUUGGGACUGAGACACGGCCCAAACUCCUACGGGAGGCAGCAGUAGGGAAUCUUCCACAAUGGACGAAAGUCUGAUGGAGCAACGCCGCGUGAGUGAAGAAGGGUCUCGGCUCGUAAAGCUCUGUUGGUAGUGAAGAAAGAUAGAGGUAGUAACUGGCCUUUAUUUGACGGUAAUUACUUAGAAAGUCACGGCUAACUACGUGCCAGCAGCCGCGGUAAUACGUAGGUGGCAAGCGUUGUCUGGAUUUAUUGGGCGUAAAGCGAGUGCAGGCGGUUCAAUAAGUCUGAUGUGAAAGCCUUCGGCUCAACCGGAGAAUUGCAUCAGAAACUGUUGAACUUGAGUGCAGAAGAGGAGAGUGGAACUCCAUGUGUAGCGGUGGAAUGCGUAGAUAUAUGGAAGAACACCAGUGGCGAAGGCGGCUCUCUGGUCUGCAACUGACGCUGAGGCUCGAAAGCAUGGGUAGCGAACAGGAUUAGAUACCCUGGUAGUCCAUGCCGUAAACGAUGAGUGCUAAGUGUUGGGAGGUUUCCGCCUCUCAGUGCUGCAGCUAACGCAUUAAGCACUCCGCCUGGGGA
Molecule: ribosomal RNA, 912 nt
Filed under: uncultured bacterium
Lineage: Bacteria
Description: bacterial SSU rRNA
Rfam family: Bacterial small subunit ribosomal RNA
Source: RNAcentral